CAGUCGCCGCGGUAAUACAGAGGGUGCGAGCGUUAAUCGGAUUUACUGGGCGUAAAGCGUGCGUAGGCGGCUUUUUAAGUCGGAUGUGAAAUCCCUGAGCUUAACUUGGGAAUUGCAUUCGAUACUGGUUAGCUAGAGUGUGGGAGAGGAUGGUAGAAUUCCAGGUGUAGCGGUGAAAUGCGUAGAGAUCUGGAGGAAUACCGAUGGCGAAGGCAGCCAUCUGGCCUAACACUGACGCUGAGGUACGAAAGCAUGGGGAGCAAACAGGAUUAGAUACCCCUGUAGUCCCUGUCUCUUAUAC
Molecule: ribosomal RNA, 301 nt
Filed under: uncultured bacterium
Lineage: Bacteria
Description: partial 16S ribosomal RNA
Rfam family: Bacterial small subunit ribosomal RNA
Source: RNAcentral